Molecule: transfer RNA, 59 nt
Filed under: Tympanocryptis cephalus
Lineage: Eukaryota; Metazoa; Chordata; Lepidosauria; Squamata; Agamidae
Also listed under: 1 other name
Description: tRNA-Cys
Source: RNAcentral
CGGCUUAAAAGGUGUUUGAGUGCAAAUCAAAUGAGGGGUCUGAGAUGGCCCUUAAGCCU